This is an RNA transcript of Morus notabilis, 2463 nucleotides long. It is a transcript of the gene named zinc finger CCCH domain-containing protein 64, with no coding region annotated. NCBI's taxonomy places the organism in Eukaryota, Viridiplantae, Streptophyta, Magnoliopsida, Rosales, Moraceae. The record is from RefSeq and is a predicted model, not a curated record. The transcript has 12 exons.
AUUCCUUUCCUCCGCCAUUUUCAACCUUCGAGCUCGCCUCUUUCCCUCCCAUGGCUCCUCCGCGAAUUCUCCUCUGCGGCGACGUCUUAGGCCGCCUCAACCAGCUCUUCAAACGAGUCGCUUCGGUCAAUAAAUCGGCUGGUCCAUUCGACGCCCUACUAUGCGUGGGCCAGUUCUUCCCGGACUCGCCGGACCGGCUCGCCGAGUUCGCGGACUACCUCGAAGGCCGGUCCGAAAUCCCUCUCCCAACUUACUUCAUCGGCGACUAUGGCAUCGCCGCUGCUAAAUUCCUUUUAGCCGCUUCGAAGGACCCAGCGAACCAGGGAUUCAAGAUGGACGGCUUGAAGAUUCGCGAGAAUCUCUUCUGGUUGAAAGGCAGUGGCAAGUUUACACUCCACGGAUUAUGUGUGGCGUAUUUAUCUGGUAGGAAUUCUGCGGAUGGCCAACAGUUUGGGACGUAUAGUCAGGAUGAUGUUGAUGCAUUGCGCGCAAUUGCGGAGGAACCUGGACUUGUUGAUUUAUUUCUUACUAACGAAUGGCCAAGUGGGGUCACAAAUAGAGCAUCAACUUCUGGCCUUCCACCUGGGGUAUCAGAAUCUUCAAGUAGUGAUUCCACAGUAGCAGAGUUAGUUGCAGAGAUCAAGCCGCGCUAUCACAUUGCAGGCACCAAAGGUGUGUUCUAUGACCGUGAACCUUACUCCAAUGUCGAUGCUGUGUAUGUGACCCGCUUCUUGGGUCUGGCACCUGUUGGAAAUAAGGAUAAACAGAAAUUUAUUCAUGCAAUUUCUCCCACUCCAGCAUCAAUGAUGUCUGCUUCUGACAUUAGUGCGAAGCCAGCAGGCACUACCUUAUCUCCAUACACAGUACAGGAAAUGGUAGAUGGAAGAGAAGCUGCAAAGAGAUCCAACGAUGGUGUUUCUGAUUCACAGUACUGGAGAUAUGAUGUCUCACAAAAACGACAGAAACAUGGAGCCAUAGAUGGUAAUAAGCUUUGUUUUAAAUUUGUUUCCUCUGGCUCUUGUCCACGAGGGGAAAAAUGUCACUUUCAACAUGAUGUGGAUGCGAGGGAACAAUCUAUGAGGGGUGUUUGUUUUGAUUUUCUCAACAAGGGAAAAUGUGAAAGGGGUCCAGAUUGCAACUUCAAGCACAGCUUACAAGAUGAAGGUGAGGGAUAUUCUCACAGGAGACGUGGAUCUGAAAAUGCUUCAACUGACAGAUCGAAAGAAUGCUGGUUUUGUCUCUCAAGCCCCAAUGUAGAGUCGCAUUUGAUCAUCAGUAUAGGAGAAAAUUUCUACUGUGCAUUGCCUAAAGGUCCACUCGUACAAGACCACGUGUUGGUAAUUCCUGUGGAGCAUUUGCCUAAUACCCUCUCUCUACCACAAAAGUCUGAAAUUGAGCUCGGUAGAUUCCAGAAUAGCCUCAGGAAGUAUUAUAAGAGCCAAGGGAAAGAUGUUGUUUUCUUCGAGUGGGUGUCUAAAAGAAGUACUCAUGCUAAUCUCCAGGCUAUCCCUGUUCCAUCAUCCAAGGCAGCUGCUCUGCAAAAUAUAUUUAAUUUAGCUGCUGAUAAGCUUGGCUUCAAAUUUGCGAUCAAGAAAUUCAAUAACAAUUCUGAUGGAAGAAAUUAUUUGAAGACUCAGUUUGACAAGAAUUUUAGUUUCUUCUAUAUUGAACUCCCUGACGGUACCAUUUUAUCACAUGUGGUGGAGGAAAACGAGAAAUUCCCAGCUCAAUUUGGGCGUGAGGUUCUGGCAGGCUUGCUAAAGAUAGCAGAUAGAGCUGAUUGGAGGAAUUGUACUUAUAGCAAAGAAGAAGAAACGAAAAUGGUCACUGACUUCAAGAGUCAAUUCCAAGAAUUUGAUUCAAACGGAUGAUUUUUCACGGAAGGUCUCAUUUUGGUCCAUAUCAUGCUUUUGCUUGAUCGAUUGAUCUUUAUCAUUCAACAUGCACCUAACUUCAGGCACUUUUUACCAUUUGCCGGGUACCCAUUGCUUAGUUUUUGGCAAUGUUGCCUUUCGAAAAUGCAUGGGUAUUAGGUAAUAUAGAUGACACGCACUAUUUGGAUGACAACCAUCCUGGUUGGUCUCAAUUCUGAGUCUCCGACGCCCCUACACAAGCUCACAGAGUCACAGCAGUCUUUUUAUCAUCAAUGGGGUUGCUCGUCUCCUGCGCGCCCUCUUUGCAAAUUGCAAUGUUUCUUUGCAGUGGAAGAAAGGAGUGAUUCAGUGGGGAAGAGCUGUGGGUCUCACUUGCAUUCAUCUAAAGGACGUCUCUUGACUCUUUUGAACAACCACUAUUAGAACUAUGGUACUAGACUUCCUUAAGGGCCGGCCCGCAAGAACUAGGCGGCCGCGGAGUCCGAUCUCGGGGCGUGGACAAUUGCUGUUAAUUAGCAUUUCCUCUGAUCUGCGGGGAAGAGGAAAGUUGUAAAGGUAAACGGUUCCUUGAGAGUUAGGUCAAGAGCCA